AAAUAAGAAGCAAAUAAUUUGCAUUUAGUUUCGACCUAAAAAUUUGAUUUUAAAAAUCCUUAUUUU
RNAcentral lists this transfer RNA (66 nucleotides) under Dibolia occultans. RNAcentral's name for it is "tRNA-Arg". Lineage: Eukaryota; Metazoa; Arthropoda; Insecta; Coleoptera; Chrysomelidae. The record is from RNAcentral.